This 253-nucleotide ribosomal RNA is filed under the name uncultured bacterium. RNAcentral's name for it is "partial 16S ribosomal RNA". It matches the Rfam family "Bacterial small subunit ribosomal RNA", at positions 524 to 776 of the family's 1533-position model. The record is from RNAcentral.
UACGUAGGUGGCAAGCGUUGUCCGGAUUUACUGGGCGUAAAGCGCGCGCAGGCGGUCGGACAAGUCGGGUGUGAAAGCCCCCGGCUCAACUGGGGAGGGUCACGCGAUACUGUUCGACUCGAAGGCAGGAGAGGGAAGUGGAAUUCCCGGUGUAGUGGUGAAAUGCGUAGAUAUCGGGAGGAACACCAGUGGCGAAGGCGACUUCCUGGCCUGUUCUUGACGCUGAGGCGCGAAAGCGUGGGGAGCAAACAGG